This is a long non-coding RNA of Salarias fasciatus (jewelled blenny), 203 nucleotides long. RefSeq lists it as uncharacterized. Lineage: Eukaryota; Metazoa; Chordata; Actinopteri; Blenniiformes; Blenniidae. The transcript has 3 exons. The record is from RefSeq and is a predicted model, not a curated record.
UCAUAAAAUAAAGCAAAUAAUUGUAAUACUUUAGGUAAAAGCAACACUGCAUUUGAAUGUACACUUGUAAUAAUAAUAAUAAUAAUUUUCUCUUAUAAUUAUUUAUGGCACUGCAUUUCCUGUGCAACUGUAACUGUCACAUAGUUUCAGUUUUAAAAAUAAUAUAAUAUCAAUAAAAUUAAAUGUGUGUGUGUGUGUGUGUG